Oncorhynchus kisutch (coho salmon) is the source of this 1550-nucleotide long non-coding RNA. RefSeq lists it as uncharacterized. Lineage: Eukaryota; Metazoa; Chordata; Actinopteri; Salmoniformes; Salmonidae. The record is from RefSeq and is a predicted model, not a curated record. The transcript has 4 exons.
UUGUAACCAAGAGAGCCAGGUGGUUACGUUAGUUGCUAAACAGUUCGCAUACAAGCGGUUGGUAGGCGACAGUUGGAAUGUUUGCGUUCACACACCAUUAUCAUGAGCGGUCUCGAACAGUGAUUAAAUGAUUUGGGAAGGAAGUUCGUUAGUAACAGUACGCAUGCACAAGUUAGCCGUUUAGCUAGCUAACAAACUAUUUAAAAACAAAUCAAACUUGACUGUCAACAGCGAGUACAAAAUGCCAGUUCAAACGAUGCAAUUGGCAUUAUACGAUGCAACUCGUUUUGUAGAAACACAAUUUCACGCAAAUAGCUUUGCUUGAUCAACAGCACUAGCUAACUAACAUAGUUAGCUCAUUUGAAUAUCCUCAAGGCCAACGUGAGUAGUUAGCUAGCUAACGCGUUAGUCUAGCCCUUUGAUUUGGUGAAGAAUGGCUGGUACCGUAUUGGGCGUGGGAACUUUUUUUUCUUCUUCCAUUGCUCUUAUCUGGAUUGUAGCUUUCGUGCUGGGGAUGAUCCUCUUGAGAGCUACUGGACCAACUAAGGGUCAUCCCUGUCUUCCUGCUGGCCCUCAUUUCCACUCUUAUCCUGGUGUUCUUCCCCUGUAGCUCAGAGACCCUGUCACCAUUCAAAGAUUUUGAGCAGCACAAACAGACUGCAGUGCUUUCCUCCUGCACCGCCUGCCAAAUAAUGCAGCCAGAUCCGCCAAGCUGCCACCCCACAGAGGGCACCACCAGCCUGGCCAGUUUGUGUUAGAACUGAUUGCAGUGGCUCACUUGUGACAUCUGUUGGAAGAAAGAGGAAUUACACAGACCAUUUAAACAGAAGAUACCCACUUAUCAAACAUACAGAAACCAUCUAUCCUAAACUAACCCAUUUAUCAUCAGUUUGUACUGAUGAUAACUGUCUGAACAUCUCUUUCCUCCUGCAGACCGUAGACACUUUCUUCAUCAGCCGAUACGUCCUGCUGUCGGUGGCCAGCGUAGGCUUCUUGGUUGCUCUGUUCGGCCUGCUGCCCCUCCAUUUCCUGGAAGCUGUCUAUGCCAAGCCCUUGAACACACUAGAGCUGAGUGGCCAGGCCAAGUUGGCAUGCUAGACUGGUGGCCAGGGCCCAAUGUGCAGCGCUGGAGAUGAGAAGAGGCCAACUAAGAGGGGCCCUAGUGAAAUCGAGCGAAGGACAGGUUGGCAACCGAUCCCAAAAACAGAUCGGGCCAAUGUUUUCUCCGUGAUCGACUGUUUGUUGUUGGGGGGAAUUUUGGGCCAACUGAAAUUAAAGACGCUACUAUGUUCUUUGGUAUAGGCCACUGUAAACAUAAACAAUGUGUUGUGUUUAUGGAUAGCAAUUAGGCUACUUUGAAUUGUGGUGGUGGAAUAGCACUUGCAUUAAUAUAAUGCAUUUAUCUCUAUUGCCUGAUUCAGAAGUUCAGAGGAUAAGACUGAUAACUGUAUGUAUAUUUUUGACAUUCACUUUUUUUCUCCACUUGUAUUUAUAAAAUGGAUGUAUUGUGAUUUUUAGGAGAACUUUAUUAAACAUUUCAAUAUUGUUAA